Xiphophorus couchianus (Monterrey platyfish) is the source of this 2003-nucleotide long non-coding RNA. RefSeq lists it as uncharacterized. The transcript has 2 exons. The record is from RefSeq and is a predicted model, not a curated record. NCBI's taxonomy places the organism in Eukaryota, Metazoa, Chordata, Actinopteri, Cyprinodontiformes, Poeciliidae.
CCAACUUUUAUCCUAUCCUGCUACUCUGCAGCGCGGUGCUUGGUGUCCUCCUGAUUGUGCUGUUAACUUGCUGCAUCUGUUGCAUAUUGAGGAAACGUAGAAAUACCAAAGGCAAACACAUCAGACAAACCCUAUGAGAAUGAUCUUUGACAAUCUCAACCACACCGAUCAUCAGAAGUGGACACAGGCCAAAGGACUCUUAAAAACCACUCACAAACUGGGUUUUUACCAUCUUUUUUAAAUUUUAAAAAAAAAAGAUUUUAUUGGCUCUAGUGACCUUUAUUUGACAGUGAAUUGACAGGAAAGAGGGUAAUGAGAGAAGGGGGAAGACAUGCAGCAAAGAUCGCCAGGCCGGGAAUCGAAUCUGUGACAGCCUCGUCAAGGACUAAGGCCUCCAUAUAUGUGGGUUGUGCUUAACCCCUGCGCCACCACAGCAUCUUAGGAAAGUUUUUCCUCUGGAUUGUUAGUGUCUAAACCACCGUAAACCAUCAUUGGUAUCCUUAAAAGUUAGACGUAGCAACUAGAACAUUGUAGUUUAAGUACUUUUCUAUGUCUGAAACAUGUAUUAUUUUCCCAUGUUUGUUACUGUUUAAUGUAAAUUGAUUAAAUGUUAUAUUUUACAAAGAAUACAUUCUUGUCAGUUCUGUUGGCUUAUAAACUUAUCAUAAACAUAUGGCAUGCUUCUGUUUAUUCCAUCUAACAUCCAAUACUUACACUUUACUGAGCACUUUACUGUAAUAAAGAACCUUUACUAAGUUUCUUGAUUACAAUUUAAUCAAGAAACUUUGUUUGCUGCAUCUCAAUCAACAAACUUUAAACCUUUGCCACACAAACUCAGUUUCAGGAAUCUUUAAGUUGGUUUCCAUCCCAGAUAUGUAAUCCUGUUUAAGUCUGACAUUGAGGGUAGAAUUAAUAAAUUAGAUUAAAUCCAACAUAGUUAUAUUCUACGCUGGUUUACCCUUGCCCAAACCAGCUGCUGAACUUUAUUGGUUGGGCCAAAGUUUAAACGCAGUGAAACUAAGUUGUGCACAUCCUCAAAACCCCUUAUAGUAACCCACACGAACUGUUUUAUCUAUAAUGAGGAACUGAGCAGAGAUCUAAACAUUAGCUUAUUUUUCUUCACACCUUUUUUCUAGUUUAUUGAUUCUUAACUUGUUGGCCUACAUCACCUCAAAUCAACAUACUGUUGAAAUUAAAUACGCCCUUCAACAUCAGUUGUUGUAAAUAGUGUGUUUACUCUACCUUCCUACUCUAUCCUUAAGGCUCAUGCUUACAUUCUACUUUAAUGACAAAAUGUAUUCUAUUACUUAAUUUAUCAUAAAUUAGCAGUUUUAAACCAAUGAUUUCUAAAACCCAUGUGUUUCCAAAGCCUAAUUAUGCAAUGGGAUUGGAAAAGCUCAGGCUUUGUGAAUGUGUUUGAUUUUAUGUUGUGGUGCUUCUUUCCCCCACUGCGCAUUGAAUAGUCAAAAGUUAAUGUGAAUCUACAAUAAUAAGAAUAAUUUUGAAUGUGAAACAUCCAGACGGUGACUGAGAGGAAAAAGAGAAUGGGGGGGGCAGGGGGGAAAUCCUGUGUGUUGACAUGUUUACUUUGUUUCACUUCUGUCACCUCAUGUCAAAAUAACCUCAAGCUUCCUUUUAUCAUUUGUUGUGACUAAAACAUGGAGCUUUCGAUAUUGACCCUUUUAGUGCCACAGUUUACUUAAUUUCUGUCUAUACUAUUAUAGGUUGAGUCAGCUUGAGGUAAUUGUUGUGCUGCAGUACGGUUAAUUUUCUUUGUUUCAUUUUGAUAUUGUUUUUUUUUUUUUUGUUUAGUUCAUUUUAAUUUCUGUCUUCUGUCCUUGUAUGAUUGGGAGUGUUGGGAAGUAAAAAAGUGGAAAAUAUUCUGUAUGAGUUGGCUGCCUUAAGUGUUUUGAUCCACAUGUAAUGACUGCUGCAAAUGGAUCUGUCUCCUAUAGAUCUAUGUUAAGCACACACACUAAAUAAAAGACUGUCAUCUUCUUGUC